GUCAUAUGCUUGUCUCAAAGAUUAAGCCAUGCAUGUCUCAGUACAAGCCAAAUUAAGGUGAAACCGCGAAAGGCUCAUUAAAUCAGUUAUGGUUCCUUAGAUCGUACCCACAAUUACUUGGAUAACUGUGGUAAUUCUAGAGCUAAUACAUGCAAACAGAGCUCCGACCGGAGACGGAAGGAGUGCUUUUAUUAGAUCAAAACCAAUCGGUGGCGGGUUCGCUCGUUAUCGUACAACUUGGUGACUCUGAAUAACUUUACGCUGAUCGCACGGUCAUCGCACCGGCGACGCAUCUUUCAAAUGUCUGCCUUAUCAACUGUCGAUGGUAGGUUCUGCGCCUACCAUGGUUGUAACGGGUAACGGGGAAUCAGGGUUCGAUUCCGGAGAGGGAGCCUGAGAAACGGCUACCACAUCCAAGGAAGGCAGCAGGCGCGCAAAUUACCCACUCCCGGCACGGGGAGGUAGUGACGAAAAAUAACGAUACGGGACUCAUCCGAGGCCCCGUAAUCGGAAUGAGUACACUCUAAACCCUUUAACGAGGAUCARUUGGAGGGCAAGUCUGGUGCC
Molecule: ribosomal RNA, 567 nt
Filed under: Trigonopterus sp. 455 MB-2015
Lineage: Eukaryota; Metazoa; Arthropoda; Insecta; Coleoptera; Curculionidae
Description: SSU rRNA
Rfam family: Eukaryotic small subunit ribosomal RNA
Source: RNAcentral